CUGAGGGAAAUACGGAGUCUGCAAACACACUGGGUGAGGUUGUCAAUGGAUUAUAAUAUAAUUAAACUAUUGUGUGUAUAUAUACCCGGUGAUUAUGGAAGUCUCAAAGGGUGUCCUCUAUAACUCCUCAGCCGUAGCCGCCACAGUCGCCUCGACCAUCUUGCUGAGGGAAAUACGAAGUCUGCAAACACACUGGGUGAGGUUGUCAAUGGAUUAUAAUAUAAUUAAACUAUUGUAUAUAUACGGUGAUUGUGGAGGUCUGAGAUGAUUUCCUCUCUAACUCCUCAGCCGUAGCCGCUAGCACCGCGUGGACCAUCUUGCUCAGGGAAAUACGAAGUCUGCAAACACACUGGGUGAGGUUGUCCAUGGAUUAUAAUAUAAUUAAACUAUUGUAUAUAUACGGUGAUUGUGGAGGUCUGAGAUGAUUUCCUCUCUAACUCCUCAGCCGUAGCCGCUAGCACCGCGUGGACCAUCUUGCUCAGGGAAAUACGAAGUCUGCAAACACACUGGGUGAGGUUGUCAAUGGAUUAUAAUAUAAUUAAACUAUUGUGUAUAUAUACCCGGUGAUUGUGGAAGUCUCAAAGGGUGUCCUCUAUAACUCCUCAGCCGUAGCCGCCACAGUCGCCUCGACCAUCUUGCUGAGGGAAAUACGAAGUCUGCAAACACACUGGGUGAGGUUGUCAAUGAAUUAUAAUAAAAUAACAAUCUUGUGUAUACGGUGAUUGUGGAGGUCUGAGAUGAUUUCCUCUCUAACUCCUCAGCCGUAGCCGCUAGCAACGCGUGGACCAUCUUGCUGAGGGAAAUACGAAGUCUGCAAACACACUGGGUGAGGUUGUCAAUGGAUUAUAAUAAAAUAACAAUCUUGUAUAUUGUGGAGGUCUGAGAUGAUUUCCUCUCUAACUCCUCAGCCGUAGCCGCCACAGUCGCCUCGACCAUCUUCCUGAGGGAAAUACGAAGUCUGCAAACACACUGGGUGAGGUUGUCAAUGGAUUAUAAUAUAAUUAAACUAUUGUGUAUAUAUAUACACGGUGAUUGUGGAAGUCUCAGAGGAUCUCCUCUAUAACUCCUCAGCCGUAGCCGCCACAGUCGCCUCGACCAUCUUGCUGAGGGAAAUACGAAGUCUGCAAACACACUGGGUGAGGUUGUCAAUGGAUUAUAAUAAAAUAACAAUCUUGUGUAUAUACGGUGAUUGUGGAGGUCUGAGAUGAUUUCCUAACUCCUCAGCCGUAGCCGCUAGCAACGCGUGGACCAUCUUGCUGAGGGAAAUACGAAGUCUGCAAACACACUGGGUGAGGUUGUCAAUGGAUUAUAAUAUAAUUAAACUAUUGUGUGUGUAUAUAUACACGGUGAUUGUGGAAGUCUGAGAGGAUCUCUCUAACUCCUCAGCCGUAGCCGCCACAGUCGCCUCGAUCAUCUUGCUGAGGGAAAUACGAAGUCUGCAAACACACUGGGUGAGGUUGUCAAUGAAUUAUAAUAUAAUUAAACUAUUGUGUGCAUAUACACGGUGAUUGUGGAAGUCUCAAAGGGUCUCCUCUAUAACUCCUCAGCCGUAGCCGCCACAGUCGCCUCGACCAUCUUGCUGAGGGAAAUACGAAGUCUGCAAACACACUGGGUGAGGUUGUCAAUGAAUUAUAAUAAAAUAACAAUCUUGUGUAUACGGUGAUUGUGGAGGUCUGAGAUGAUUUCCUCUCUAACUCCUCAGCCGUAGCCGCUAGCACCGCGUGGACCAUCUUGCUCAGGGAAAUACGAAGUCUGCAAACACACUGGGUGAGGUUGUCAAUGGAUUAUAAUAUAAUAACAAUCUUGUAUAUUGUGGAGGUCUGAGAUGAUUUCCUCUCUAACUCCUCAGCCGUAGCCGCCACAGUCGCCUCGACCAUCUUCCUGAGGGAAAUACGAAGUCUGCAAACACACUGGGUGAGGUUGUCAAUGGAUUAUAAUAUAAUUAAACUAUUGUGUAUAUAUAUACACGGUGAUUGUGGAAGUCUCAGAGGAUCUCCUCUAUAACUCCUCAGCCGUAGCCGCCACAGUCGCCUCGACCAUCUUGCUGAGGGAAAUACGAAGUCUGCAAACACACUGGGUGAGGUUGUCAAUGGAUUAUAAUAAAAUAACAAUCUUGUGUAUAUACGGUGAUUGUGGAGGUCUGAGAUGAUUUCCUAACUCCUCAGCCGUAGCCGCUAGCAACGCGUGGACCAUCUUGCUGAGGGAAAUACGAAGUCUGCAAACACACUGGGUGAGGUUGUCAAUGGAUUAUAAUAUAAUUAAACUAUUGUGUGUGUGUAUAUACACGGUGAUUGUGGAAGUCUGAGAGGAUCUCUCUAACUCCUCAGCCGUAGCCGCCACAGUCGCCUCGAUCAUCUUGCUGAGGGAAAUACGAAGUCUGCAAACACACUGGGUGAGGUUGUCAAUGAAUUAUAAUAUAAUUAAACUAUUGUGUGCAUAUACACGGUGAUUGUGGAAGUCUCAAAGGGUCUCCUCUAUAACUCCUCAGCCGUAGCCGCCACAGUCGCCUCGACCAUCUUGCUCAGGGAAAUACGAAGUCUGCAAACACACUGGGUGAGGUUGUCAAUGGAUUAUAAUAUAAUAACAAUCUUGUAUAUUGUGGAGGUCUGAGAUGAUUUCCUCUCUAACUCCUCAGCCGUAGCCGCCACAGUCGCCUCGACCAUCUUCCUGAGGGAAAUACGAAGUCUGCAAACACACUGGGUGAGGUUGUCAAUGGAUUAUAAUAUAAUUAAACUAUUGUGUAUAUAUAUACACGGUGAUUGUGGAAGUCUCAGAGGAUCUCCUCUAUAACUCCUCAGCCGUAGCCGCCACAGUCGCCUCGACCAUCUUGCUGAGGGAAAUACGAAGUCUGCAAACACACUGGGUGAGGUUGUCAAUGGAUUAUAAUAAAAUAACAAUCUUGUGUAUAUACGGUGAUUGUGGAGGUCUGAGAUGAUUUCCUAACUCCUCAGCCGUAGCCGCUAGCAACGCGUGGACCAUCUUGCUGAGGGAAAUACGAAGUCUGCAAACACACUGGGUGAGGUUGUCAAUGAAUUAUAAUAAAAUAACAAUCUUGUAUAUAUACGGUGAUUGUGGAGGUCUGAGAUUAUUUCCUGUAACUCCUCAGCCGUAGCCGCCACAGUCGCCUCGACCAACUUGCUGAGGGAAAUACGGAGUCUGAAAACACACUGGGUGAGGUUGUCGUCAAGGAAAUUAAACAUUAUAACACUAUUGUGUAUAUUUAUUAUAGUCAGAAAAUAAACUAUACAAACUCA
Non-coding RNA from Petromyzon marinus (sea lamprey), 3254 nucleotides. NCBI's taxonomy places the organism in Eukaryota, Metazoa, Chordata, Hyperoartia, Petromyzontiformes, Petromyzontidae. The record is from RefSeq and is a predicted model, not a curated record.